Molecule: ribosomal RNA, 96 nt
Filed under: Acanthosepion pharaonis
Lineage: Eukaryota; Metazoa; Mollusca; Cephalopoda; Sepiida; Sepiidae
Source: RNAcentral
UUGAAAGACCAGUUCCCGUACGAUCAUCGAAGUUAAGCAACGUCGAGCCUGAUGAGUACCUAGAUGGGUGACCGCUUGGGAAUGCCAGGUACAGUA